AUUUUAACCAAUGUGACAGUUGGGUGUCACACAAGACUUGCUCUCUAGUGAAAAGGCUUAAUGUCUCCCUUUUGGGUAUGGCUUCGUGAUGUGUUUACACAUGCAUCAAUGCAUCAGCGAAGCGCCUUUGUGGCCCUGAUUUGACCCCUUUUUGAAGAGCCAGUUCACAUAUCCUCAUUGAAUACUGCUACUCACUUUGGGUGAGUGCUAUUAUCUAUUAUACAUUCGGACAGAAUGUAUCUUCCUGUGAUUUUCUGACAGACCGACCAUCUGGAAACCUUGUUCAUAUAUCCGGUUUAUAACUAGAUGCAAUUGCACGCUAAAGGUAUGAUAGCAUUUAUUUAAAUCUGAAUUCAUUUUGAAUCCAUUAAAUGUAGUUUGGUACAGCCUUAUGAAAUUUUAAGUUCUGCUUGAGAAAUCUGGGGAGUGUGACUAGCAAUCAUAAAUCCAAAGUAAUUUACAAGCCUAAUUUAGGAAUGAGCCACAGCAUCAAAACAUCAGGAGUUCAUGUCAGUUUGUUUCGCUUAUAGCCUCACAGCUACGGCUGCGUAUAGCUAAAAAAAAUGUUGGAUAUCAAAGCCAAAACAAUAGCUGAGUUUUGGUACUGAUUCAUGUUUAUUCUUUUUGCCACAUAUGCCAAAACUGCUUCCUGCAAUGAACUUUGCCUACAUAGAAAUAUAUUCUGAGGUUUCCUGAUUUACAACAGGACAAAAGUGAUCAAACAAUAAGUAAACAAGGCCAAGAUUCAGUCCAACCAUUUGAUGCCAACUUUCAAUGCUCUUCAAUACCCAGUGCUACUCACAACUCAGGCGUAUAAUUCAGCAUUUCCUAUUAUACAGUGAAACCAAAAAUCUGUCAUAACUAUGUAAAAACAUUUUUGUCACAAUUUUCAGUUGAAAAAACAGCUGUUUAAGCAGCCAUUUGCAUUGAUUUAUCCCUGCCAAGGAAGUCAGUGGAAUCUAGGAUGUGUCUAGAUGGUAACCCUAGAUUUGCGAUCUUAUCUUAACCUUAACAAUUCAAGCUCAAUGCCUAACCUCAACCAUCUAACCUUACCCAUUCAAAGUCAAUACAUAACCUCAACCAUCUAACCUAUCCCAUUCGAGGUCAAUGCCUAACCUCAACCAUCUUGCGAAAGUUUUGCAAAUGUUGGGUUACCUUUUUGACACGACUUCUAAACACCUCUAGACUUUUGAUGGCAUUCAAAGCAUUUCUUGUGAGACAUUCGGCACAAAUAAGAUGUUAAGUAUGGCACUCCAGUAUUGAAUGUAAUGAAUUUGUACUUUUGGUGCCUGUGGUGAAAAAAAUGGGGAUCUAUAGACUCUUGUUACCUUACCUACCUGUAUAGUCUGCAUGUAAAUAUCUUGUGCAUGUAUGAUUUUUGUGUCUGCACUUACACAUUCUUAAAAAAUGUUAAAUAACAAUUUUAAAGAUUUAUUUGUUGGGACACAUGCAAGAUAGUAGGUUUUUAUAGAAAGUAAUGAAGUAAAUGGUGUCCUAUUUAAUUGUGAAGGGCUAUUCAUCACAAUAUAUCCAUACCAAUAUACUGUAUAUUACCUCUGUGAUUGUCUGCAAAACUCUGCAAGGUUUAGUCAAGUUUCUGAGUAUCAACAAAUGCUUGUGAAUGCCACUGCUUAGUGGCUUUAGUGGUAUAAUGAGUAUUUUAUUUGGACAUAAUCUGAUGUAAUUUGCUAUAUUUGAAGAGGAUUGAGAAUUGAAUUACUAGAAGAUUUAACUGCUGUGCCUCUGGUAAAAACAAUCUCACAUAAUGAAAUAAAAUUUUAACAGAUUUUGCACCAAAUAUCUGACACAUUGGGGAAUACAAAGUUGGCCUAGUGACAACAUUUAAAUAAUACAAUUAAAAUUAAAAAAUACAACUGCAAUAUUAUAUUGGCCUGAUAGAUGCAAUAAACUGAAUAGGAAAUCAAGUAAAAAAGCAUUCACCGUUUAUGUUUCAGAUUUGAUUUAUGUUAUGCACAUGGCAACCUAACUGCUUUAUGUAUGUUCUGCCUUACUGUUGUUAAGUACUGGUGAGACGAUGAAAUACGACCCAGGAAGUCCAGUUGGAGUGACAGAUUAAUGUGUUUCAAGGCUUACCAGAGGCCGAAAUACUGCACAUUAGUUUGUAUUACCCACAGACAGGAUUUUACAACUCCGACGAGAAAUAACGGUGGCAACCAUUUUAUGUUUCGUCGUGAUGAUCGUGAGGUGAACAGUAGAAACAGUGUUCAAUGAACUGUCUCAAUUCAAACAAAUGAGAGGGCUGCGUUUUGUCACGUUUUGGCUAUUUUGCAGAGGCACUGACCUGCAUCCGGCAUCUGUGCCCCCCAAGACGAUUGUGAUUGGUUUAAAGAAAUGCCAAUAAACCAGAGAACGUUUUUCUCCUAUCUCGGAAUGUUGUGUGGACUAGCCAGACUCUCCUCCGCAGCGCUGUGAUGGUAGGUCUGGCAAUGUGAGAUUUACUGGAGGGUAACUGGCUUUGCAGUGAAUUAUAGGGGCCAUGAUAUAAUCAGUGCACAAUGAGAUUAUUUGAUGCAUAUGUAAACAACAGACAUGGUAGAGAUUAAGAACACUUUUACACCGUCUGUCCCCCCAGUUAAAAAUAAUGAAUCACCUACUGACC
Long non-coding RNA from Sander lucioperca (pikeperch), 2620 nucleotides. RefSeq lists it as uncharacterized. NCBI's taxonomy places the organism in Eukaryota, Metazoa, Chordata, Actinopteri, Perciformes, Percidae. The transcript is spliced from 2 exons. The record is from RefSeq and is a predicted model, not a curated record.